This 460-nucleotide ribosomal RNA is filed under the name uncultured bacterium. RNAcentral's name for it is "partial 16S ribosomal RNA". It matches the Rfam family "Bacterial small subunit ribosomal RNA", at positions 338 to 795 of the family's 1533-position model. The record is from RNAcentral.
CCUACGGGAGGCAGCAGUGAGGAAUAUUGGUCAAUGGGCGCAAGCCUGAACCAGCCAAGUCGCGUGAGGGAUUAAGGCCCUGCGGGUUGUAAACCUCUUUUGCCGGGGAGCAACGGUCGCGACGUGUGCGGACCGGGAGAGUACCCGGAGAAAAAGCAUCGGCUAACUCCGUGCCAGCAGCCGCGGUAAUACGGAGGAUGCGAGCGUUAUCCGGAUUUAUUGGGUUUAAAGGGUGCGUAGGCGGGCCUUUAAGCCGGCGGUCAAAUGUCGGGGCUCAACCCCGGCCCGCCGUUGAAACUGGGGGCCUUGAGUGGACGAGAAGUAUGCGGAAUGCGUGGUGUAGCGGUGAAAUGCAUAGAUAUCACGCAGAACCCCGAUUGCGAAGGCAGCAUACCGGCGCCCGACUGACGCUGAGGCACGAAAGUGCGGGUAUCGAACAGGAUUAGAUACCCGAGUAGUC